RNAcentral lists this ribosomal RNA (403 nucleotides) under bacterium. Its description in RNAcentral is "partial 16S ribosomal RNA". It matches the Rfam family "Bacterial small subunit ribosomal RNA", at positions 355 to 776 of the family's 1533-position model. The record is from RNAcentral.
UGGGGAAUAUUGCACAAUGGAGGGAACUCUGAUGCAGCGACGCCGCGUGAACGAAGAAGGCUUUCGAGUCGUAAAGUUCUUUUAUAUGGGAAGAUAAUGACGGUACCAUAAGAAAAAGCCCCGGCUAACUACGUGCCAGCAGCCGCGGUAAUACGUAGGGGGCUAGCGUUGUCCGGAAUCACUGGGCGUAAAGGGUUCGCAGGCGGAAAUGCAAGUCAGGUGUUAAAGGCAGUAGCUUAACUACUGUAAGCAUUUGAAACUGCAUAUCUUGAGAAGAGUAGAGGUAAGUGGAAUUUUUAGUGUAGCGGUGAAAUGCGUAGAUAUUAAAAAGAAUACCGGUGGCGAAGGAGGCUUACUGGGCUCAUUCUGACGCUGAGGAACGAAAGCGUGGGUAGCAAACAGG